RNAcentral lists this ribosomal RNA (1521 nucleotides) under metagenome. RNAcentral describes it as "bacterial SSU rRNA". It matches the Rfam family "Bacterial small subunit ribosomal RNA". The record is from RNAcentral.
GAGUUUGAUCAUGGCUCAGAUUGAACGCUGGCGGCAGGCCUAACACAUGCAAGUCGAACGGUAACAGGAAGAAGCUUGCUUCUUUGCUGACGAGUGGCGGACGGGUGAGUAAUGUCUGGGAAACUGCCUGAUGGAGGGGGAUAACUACUGGAAACGGUAGCUAAUACCGCAUAACGUCGCAAGACCAAAGAGGGGGACCUUCGGGCCUCUUGCCAUCGGAUGUGCCCAGAUGGGAUUAGCUAGUAGGUGGGGUAACGGCUCACCUAGGCGACGAUCCCUAGCUGGUCUGAGAGGAUGACCAGCCACACUGGAACUGAGACACGGUCCAGACUCCUACGGGAGGCAGCAGUGGGGAAUAUUGCACAAUGGGCGCAAGCCUGAUGCAGCCAUGCCGCGUGUAUGAAGAAGGCCUUCGGGUUGUAAAGUACUUUCAGCGGGGAGGAAGGGAGUAAAGUUAAUACCUUUGCUCAUUGACGUUACCCGCAGAAGAAGCACCGGCUAACUCCAUGCCAGCAGCCGCGGUAAUACGGAGGGUGCAAGCGUUAAUCGGAAUUACUGGGCGUAAAGCGCACGCAGGCGGUUUGUUAAGUCAGAUGUGAAAUCCCCGGGCUCAACCUGGGAACUGCAUCUGAUACUGGCAAGCUUGAGUCUCGUAGAGGGGGGUAGAAUUCCAGGUGUAGCGGUGAAAUGCGUAGAGAUCUGGAGGAAUACCGGUGGCGAAGGCGGCCCCCUGGACGAAGACUGACGCUCAGGUGCGAAAGCGUGGGGAGCAAACAGGAUUAGAUACCCUGGUAGUCCACGCCGUAAACGAUGUCGACUUGGAGGUUGUGCCCUUGAGGCGUGGCUUCCGGAGCUAACGCGUUAAGUCGACCGCCUGGGGAGUACGGCCGCAAGGUUAAAACUCAAAUGAAUUGACGGGGGCCCGCACAAGCGGUGGAGCAUGUGGUUUAAUUCGAUGCAACGCGAAGAACCUUACCUGGUCUUGACAUCCACAGAGCUUUCCAGAGAUGGAUUGGUGCCUUCGGGAACUGUGAGACAGGUGCUGCAUGGCUGUCGUCAGCUCGUGUUGUGAAAUGUUGGGUUAAGUCCCGCAACGAGCGCAACCCUUAUCUUUUGUUGCCAGCGGUCCGGCCGGGAACUCAAAGGAGACUGCCAGUGAUAAACUGGAGGAAGGUGGGGAUGACGUCAAGUCAUCAUGCCCCUUACGACCAGGGCUACACACGUGCUACAAUGGCGCAUACAAAGAGAAGCGACCUCGCGAGAGCAAGCGGACCUCAUAAAGUGCGUCGUAGUCCGGAUUGGAGUCUGCAACUCGACUCCAUGAAGUCGGAAUCGCUAGUAAUCGUGGAUCAGAAUGCCACGGUGAAUACGUUCCCGGGCCUUGUACACACCGCCCGUCACACCAUGGGAGUGGGUUGCAAAAGAAGUAGGUAGCUUAACCUUCGGGAGGGCGCUUACCACUUUGUGAUUCAUGACUGGGGUGAAGUCGGAACAAGGUAACCGUAGGGGAACCUGCGGUUG